GCAGAACUGAAAUUGACUGGUGUCGAUAAUGGACUUCAAAUCCAUUGGCGAUUAGGUUCGCAGAGGUUCGAUUCCUCCUGGUCUGCG
Molecule: non-coding RNA, 87 nt
Organism: Paraphysoderma sedebokerense
Lineage: Eukaryota; Fungi; Blastocladiomycota; Physodermatomycetes; Physodermatales; Physodermataceae
Source: the annotation of a GenBank genome assembly